GGGUCAGUAGCUCAGUUGGUAGAGCAGGAGGCUCUUAACCUCUUGGUCGUGGGUUCGAGUCCCGCCUGACCCACCA
Molecule: transfer RNA, 76 nt
Filed under: Candidatus Peregrinibacteria bacterium CG10_big_fil_rev_8_21_14_0_10_55_24
Lineage: Bacteria; Candidatus Peregrinibacteriota
Description: tRNA-Lys
Rfam family: tRNA
About the family: Transfer RNA (tRNA) molecules are approximately 80 nucleotides in length. Their secondary structure includes four short double-helical elements and three loops (D, anti-codon, and T loops). Further hydrogen bonds mediate the characteristic L-shaped molecular structure. tRNAs have two regions of fundamental functional importance: the anti-codon, which is responsible for specific mRNA codon recognition, and the 3' end, to which the tRNAs corresponding amino acid is attached (by aminoacyl-tRNA synthetases). tRNAs cope with the degeneracy of the genetic code in two manners: having more than one tRNA (with a specific anti-codon) for a particular amino acid; and 'wobble' base-pairing, i.e. permitting non-standard base-pairing at the 3rd anti-codon position.
Source: RNAcentral